ACUGGAAUGGCUGGGUUAUGUAGUAAGUAUAUAUUUAAGAAACUGCCAAACUAUUCCCCAAAGUGGUUGUACAUUUUACAUUACCACCAGCAGU
This 94-nucleotide microRNA precursor is filed under the name Marmota monax (woodchuck). The record is from RNAcentral. Lineage: Eukaryota; Metazoa; Chordata; Mammalia; Rodentia; Sciuridae.